Molecule: long non-coding RNA, 4328 nt
Organism: Tympanuchus pallidicinctus (lesser prairie-chicken)
Lineage: Eukaryota; Metazoa; Chordata; Aves; Galliformes; Phasianidae
Exons: 3
Source: RefSeq, a predicted model, not a curated record
CUUACUAAUACUUUUGAGAAUCUGAGAUAGGAUGGAAAUAUUGCCCUAAUUCAGAGUAUUAUCUCCUGCUGAUGGCUCCCCAGCCCGUGCCUAGAGUGAGAAAUGCUGGCAGCUGGGGAGAGCUGCCCUCUGCAAUACAGAGCCCACCCAGAGCCUGUAGUGAGCCAGAUUCCUCGGUACAUUUACCUCUUCUGUUUGGUUUGCCCUUUAUUCCAGGAGAAGACAAAACUGCUCAAACAGAAUCCUGGGCUUAGUGAUGUCAAUGAGAGCUUAUCAAACACUGGGUGAUGCCCACAGCUGAUGGUUUGCCCGCAGCAGAUUGGUCUUUUUAUCGUUAUUCAUAAUUAAGAUGCUGAAUUUACAGAUACACCUGUUUGAGGAAUGGCUGAGCCUCAAAGCCAUACUUGUUUGCGUCCUACAAAAGGUGAUGUGUGUUUGGGUAACAGUGGUCACUGGGCACAAUUUGCCUUCAUUAUUUCUUGGUCUUCUCCCCCAGCCCCAGCUGUGUCUGGUGAGAGGUGUGGGCUGGCACUGGCUUUCCAUGGUGUUUUCUCAGACGUACUGCUGCAAUCCUUGCUCAGACUGAUGACUUUGAGUGUGGUAAAUGAUAUAAUCUUUGACCUGGAAGCCCUGUGUUCUGAGCAUAAUCUGUGAAGCAACAGGGCCCUGGAGACAACCACAUGUGUGUUUGAAGCCCAGCGCUGCAGGGAGAUGAGGGGUGCUGACACCAGGUUUUGAAUGAGCUGAGUGGUUUAAAGUAAGUGUUCUGAUCUGCAGAGCUGUAUUAAAGUGCCUUCAAGUGUAGCAGAAUUUGAACACAUCCCUUUCUGAGUGGUAAUCUUGGGAACCUGAGCUAUGCAGAAACACAGAAGGGCUGCUGUUGUGGUUCUUGCCUAUCCCUAAAUUUCAUCUUGCUCUUAUAUUCAUAUUCAUAGUGGAACCGUACAAAUUAAUGACUGUUUAGCAAUAAGGAUUGAAAGCAAUGCCUCCUCAUAGCUCGAGUCUUGGAAGAAUGAUGAGAAGACUCAUUUUAGAAGGAUACUGACAGCAUCUGUCAAAGCACAGACACACACUGUAGCCUUUUCCCACAGUUAAGCAGGUUCACAUUUGAACAUUUAUCAUGGUCUCUAAAUUUUUCACUUGCUUCUCAGAAGACGGAUCCAAUCUAAUUUUGAUAUUUUUAUACAGUAGCAAUCCUCUUUUCAUUUCAGGAAUCUGCUCUUUUUAUUCCUGUGACCAAUUGUUCAUCGACUCCUUGUUGACAAAUGCCAGUUACUGUAGUUGGUGGGAGGAAUUCAAGGAAACUAUGGAUUACAGCUUGUCUCUUGUUGGCUCUUCACUCUGCAGUCCAUCUGGUAGACAAAAUUCCUCAGUGUAGUGCGCCGAGGGAUAAGAAUGCCUUUGUCCUGGGCAGCACCACAGCCACUUCAAGGCACACACAUGGCGUGUGGGGCUCCCUGCUCUGAGCUGCUGCAGACACCACAGGAGAGAAGGGCUGAAGACCAUUUGUGGAACAAAAGCAUUUGCCUGCACUGUAAUCUGAAUUCAGUUUAAUUGGGUAACUUGGUUGGAGGUGAUUGAAAAGAAGUAAUAGUGCUCCUAAAGAUACUAAGCCUCUUGUCCUGUACUGGGGACAUACCCUUGACUAUCAGGAAUGCAACAAGCUGAGCUUCAUCCCCAGGCAUGUUUCUAUAUCUUUUGCCUGUUUUCCCACUACUGGAAAAAACCUGCGAAGGCCUUCUAAUUGUUGUUACAAACACAACAGCAACAGCUCCCUUGUGCACUGGUAAAACGUGUUGAUGCCACCUGUUUCACUGGGAGUUUCUUGGAAUGAACCUUGCCCUCCAGUUUGUCUUCACAAAUCUAAUUGAUAGAAAAAGUCUGGUUGUGGACUGUUAUUUUAUUUUUUAAGGAUGGUCAGGGUCUCUAAAGAAAUCCUCUUGUGCUGCCUUGCAAAAACAGGACAGCACUGCUGUGAGAAGGGACACAAGCAGGAGCUCCUGUCGCCCUGCAGCAAUGUGCUCUAAAGGGCACAAGAUCGUGUGGCUGUAGGAGAAAACUAAAGGAAUUAAAAAUAAAAAAAAGUCCCAAACCACCCUUGUCUACUAAUGCCUGUCUUGGGCUCUCUGAUGGCUACAUGGGGUGUUAGCUUCAUGGACUUCCAACUUCGUACCACAGAAUUAAAGUAGAGGCCUUGCAGGCAUUUCAUAUAACUUUUAUUUUUUUAAUCAUAAGGGUUUUUCUCUAAUAUAUUUCUCAUCCCCCAGGUACAAUAUAUCUAAUAUAAAACUAAACAACAACAUGCAGAAGUGCUCAAAGGUUGGUGCUGAAUGCUGUCCUGUGUUCUGGCAGACCUUUUAUGUCCCCCAACAUGUUCAGGGCAGGCUGGUACACUUGUACACAAUAUGCUCUGAAAAAUUGUCGUGCUGUGCUUUUGGCACAUGUAAUAAUAACACUGUGCAUUAUUUGCUAGUGUAUUUUUUACAUAAUUAUGUUCUGUGUAGUAUUUUGCUAUAUCCUAUUUGAAUUAUUUUCAUCAUUCAAUACACAUACUGAGGAAAUUCUCUUUACGGUUGUCUUAAAAUUUAGAGAGGUUUUGCUCUUUCUAGUGGAUCCUACCAUAGUAUUAAAUAUGAGAGACACGAUUCCCACCAGUACGUCAAUGUUACCAAGCAAUGAGAAGAUCAUUUGCACUGUUUUUUUAAAGAAGAGACUAUAUUGCAUCUGUCUCUCAGAAAUAUCAAAUACCAUUUCGUAAGUAGACAUUAUUUCUAAUUAUGUGUUCAUCUUGGGUCAUUGUUUUUUUUUGUGACCUUUAUUUGAAUUGACACAUCAGUGAAAAGAGCAGCCAACCACUGAAGAAAGAGUGGAUAAUUCUCUCUGCCUGCCUGCUUCGGUGAGGAUAUGUUUACCAUAUGCCUCAUGAGGGAUUUGAAAUAUGUGAUUAUUAAUUAAUGUUUUUGGUUCUUUUCCUCUCAAGUUUUUAUAAAUGAAAAUAGAAGUGCUUCUCCCAGGUUUACCAAAUUAGAAUCAGAACUUCAGCUCUGAAUGCUGGGAGAAAGAAAACCCCAUUCUGUCAUCGCUGAAGGUGUGAUUGCUAUGCGAAGAGCCCUGUAAUCCAGGAACAACUUGUGAAUGUGGGAGAGGAAACGACCACUCAGCCAUGCAUGCUGUACUUAUAUGACAUUUCUUCAAGAUGUGAAAGAUAGUAAGAAGAACUAUCUGCUGAAUAAAAAGAAAUAAAUUGAAAACAAAGCUCGUACGUUGUAUGGAAUGCAGUGAAGCUGCAAGCCCACCCUUUUCAAGGAGUGGGGAGGAUUAGGAGGCACCACUUCUACAGCACCCAACCUGUUCUGCAUGCUGUGAUUUAAAUAUUCUGGAAAGUACCAGAGACACUCAAUUCAUUUCAUCUUGAAAACUGUGAAGGAAGAGGAUAGUUUGUAGGUACCAGGAACGGGCUCUCAUUGAAAUACAGUCCCAGCGUUUCUCAGCUGAGAGUUUCCUGCUCACCCUGUGCAGUCUGUGGGAAGCAGGGCACAGGGGCAAUGUAAAGUUGGGGCUCCAGAUGCCAAGGCCUGCAGCUGCUUCUGCUCAGGGUCAACCCACAGCACACGGCUGCCUCAGGGCCCCCGGGGCCCCAGGAAGCCAGAGGUGCAAACGCGUCUGCAUUGCACAAAUUGGAUUCUGGGCACACCGAGAAGCCUGUGGUCCUGAAGCUCUGCAGGUAAACUGGUGGGAAGACUGAGUUUGGACUGCAAUUCAUCCAAGGUUCAUCAAACCAGGCACAUUUUUACAAAGUGGAUUGAUUUUGACUGAUAAACCAUUUCUGGACUGACAAAGAAAAACAAGAUAAAGAAAUUGUUGGAGAGCUCUCAGCUGGGUCCUUGCCUGUGGUAUUUGCUGAAAACAGAGGAGGCCAAAAGAGUUCAGAUCACCAACACAGGGAAUGUGUUGGCUGAAGAAAGAGACAUCCAUGGACUAAGAUCAAGAUGUUUCAACCAAUCUCCAGAGGCCUGCUGGUGUCACCAUUUGGGCCAUGUACGCAGCUUCUUCAUUCCUUCCAGAGCACAGCGCUGCACUGCCCCAUGCCCACAUCAUGGCAGCAGUGUCUGCCCUGCGCUCACAACAUGACAACAGCUGUUGCUCCAUGCCCACGACAUGAUAAUAAUGUUUGCUGUGCACCCACGACAUGGCAGCAGGGGCUGCCCCAAGCCCUCAAACAUGGCAGCUGCAGUUUCCCUGUGCCCACAGCAUGGCAGCUGAGGUUUCGUUGUGCCCACAACAUGGCGGCAGUGGCUGCCCCACACCCACAACAUGGCGGCAGUGGC